RNAcentral lists this long non-coding RNA (251 nucleotides) under Capsicum annuum. RNAcentral describes it as "long non-coding RNA (CANN_LNC009548)". Lineage: Eukaryota; Viridiplantae; Streptophyta; Magnoliopsida; Solanales; Solanaceae. The record is from RNAcentral.
ACGGCAGCAACUUGGAGACAACCGACACUCAUUAGGAAGCAAUGCAAUGAAUGUUCUAGUUUGCCUCAGAGAUUGGAUUAGAGCAGAAAGAAGAAACCAAGGAAUGGAACCGGAGCCGAGCGACGAGCUGAAACUUGAAGAAAUUAUGACUUCAUGGGAGAACUCAGCAGAAUCAAGUCCAAUGUAUGGUUUUGCCCCCGUUGACUUCGACUAUCCUAUGCAAGUUUCCGUCAGUAUUAACACGAAUGAGU